UACGUAGGGGGCUAGCGUUGUCCGGAAUCAUUGGGCGUAAAGCGCGUGUAGGCGGCCCGAUAAGUCCGCUGUGAAAGUCCAGGGCUCAACCCUGGGAUGCCGGUGGAUACUGUCGGGCUCGAGUCCGGAAGAGGCGAGUGGAAUUCCUGGUGUAGCGGUGAAAUGCGCAGAUAUCAGGAAGAACACCCGUGGCGAAGGCGGCUCUCUGGAACGCAACUGACGCUGGGACGCGAAAGCGUGGGGAGCAAACAGG
Molecule: ribosomal RNA, 253 nt
Filed under: uncultured bacterium
Lineage: Bacteria
Description: partial 16S ribosomal RNA
Rfam family: Bacterial small subunit ribosomal RNA
Source: RNAcentral